CGAACUAACUAAACGGGCGAUUGCCCAGCCCAGGUACAUAUCUACUCUAAGUAGUCUCGCCCAAUGCUUUUAUCGUCUCUACUUCUAAACCUUUUAUUCCCGCCAAAUUUGAACUAAUUAUUUAGUGGAACAUAUAUGGUUAUUAAAAGAUGGUUUACAUCAUUAUUCUUGCAGAUAUUUUAUUAGUAAAGACGACGCUAGACAGGUUCUCUCUAUCAUUCAACUAAUGUGCACCUUUUGGCCUUUUCUCCACUCACAUGCAUUGCACUAAAAAGUGAAAACUGUAAAGGGCUUUUUAACAUUCACUCUCUGAUAUCUACCUACCAGAUAGAGGACGUAUGAAUGAAGUUGGAAGCAUAAUCAAGACUCUGAAGUUUGUGUGAAGGGUCCACUCAGUUCAAAGAUCUUAAUAGAGCUCGUGGAAACAGUCAGCUCAAAGGAAAAAGGACUGAAGAAACCUCCCCAGAAACAAAUGUUGAUAGAUUUAUGAAGAACAACAACAUGAGCUCUCCUUAUCUCAGCCGUGCAACAGCGAACAAUCCUGUAACAGUGAAACGUAGCAGCAAUCAUCUCAAUGGGUUUGCACAGAGACCGGAAUCCACUUUCUUUGGCACUAGGAUGCAACCAGACAUAGAACUCAUGUCUUUGGUUGAUCCAAUGGACAUGUCUUCAAGAUUGAAGGACAACAACAAUGUCUUGGCCUGAGAGCAGAAACAACAGUGGCGUAUUGAGGUGGCGGUCAUAUGAAGCAAGCGAUGAGGAAGAUGAACCGAAUUGGGGCAUUGCACCGAUUAGUUCCGGUUCGAUGCCGGUUAAGGGAAGGAGGCGUAGAUUCGCUGCAAGAUGAAAUUAUACAAACCCUCGCGGGGAAAGAAAACAUUAGCAAUUGUGUUAAGCAUAGAGAUUGAGAGCAGGUGGUGUAAAGAGGGAGAAAUGGUAAGAGUGAGCUUUGUACUCGGAACAAAAAGUAUAAUUGAGUUCUACAUUUUUCUUUAAUUUCAUUUGUGGAGAGAUUUUUUGAAUAUCAUUUUUUUUU
Molecule: long non-coding RNA, 1036 nt
Organism: Brassica napus (rape)
Lineage: Eukaryota; Viridiplantae; Streptophyta; Magnoliopsida; Brassicales; Brassicaceae
Exons: 2
Source: RefSeq, a predicted model, not a curated record